UACGGAGGAUUCAAGCGUUAUCCGGAUUUAUUGGGUUUAAAGGGUGCGUAGGCGGUCGGAUAAGUUAGAGGUGAAAUCCCGAGGCUCAACUUCGGAAUUGCCUCUGAUACUGGUUUGCUAGCGAGUAGAUGCUGUAGGCGGAAUGUGUGGUGUAGCGGUGAAAUGCAUAGAUAUCACGCAGAACUCCGAUUGCGAAGGCAGCAUACCGGCGCCCAACUGACGCUGAAGCACGAAAGCGUGGGGAUCGAACAGG
RNAcentral lists this ribosomal RNA (253 nucleotides) under uncultured Rikenellaceae bacterium. RNAcentral describes it as "partial 16S ribosomal RNA". It matches the Rfam family "Bacterial small subunit ribosomal RNA", at positions 524 to 776 of the family's 1533-position model. The record is from RNAcentral. Lineage: Bacteria; Pseudomonadati; Bacteroidota; Bacteroidia; Bacteroidales; Rikenellaceae.